This 253-nucleotide ribosomal RNA is filed under the name uncultured bacterium. RNAcentral's name for it is "partial 16S ribosomal RNA". It matches the Rfam family "Bacterial small subunit ribosomal RNA", at positions 524 to 776 of the family's 1533-position model. The record is from RNAcentral.
UACGAAGGGGGCUGGCGUUGUUCGGAAUUACUGGGCGUAAAGCGCGCGCAGGCGGUCCUUCAAGUCAGAGGUGAAAGCCCAGAGCUCAACUCUGGAAUGGCCUUUGAGACUAGAGGACUUGGGUACGGGAGAGGUGAGUGGAAUUCCGAGUGUAGAGGUGAAAUUCGUAGAUAUUCGGAAGAACACCAGUGGCGAAGGCGGCUCACUGGCCCGUUACCGACGCUCAGGCGCGACAGCGUGGGGAGCAAACAGG